GGGUUCCCGCCCGCGCCUCUCCCGCCACACCUCCCUGCAAGCUGAGGGAGCCGGCUCCUGCCUUGGCCAGGCUAGAAAGGGGCUCCCACAGUGCAGGGGCGGGCUGAAGGGCUCCUCAAGUGCCACCAAAGUGGGAGCCCAGGCAGAGGAGGUGCCGAGAGCGAGCGAGGGCUGCGAGGACUGCCAGCAGCUGUCACCUCUCGUUACCAUCACUCCUAGUGACCAUUUCGGAUAAUCCACCUUGCCUCAUCAAACCAGAAAACAAUUCAAACCUGGCCUCCUUCUAACUGGAAGCCACAUUUUAAGAACUUAUUGUGAAGAACUGGAAAGCCUCCAAUAGGACCCAUUAUACAGGCUGCCUUUCCAGCUCUCCAAUCAUACUUCCAAGAAAACUGCUCACUCUCAGAACCAAGGUUCAAGUUGUACAUUGGGAUUUGGGUAGAGCACGGGACCUGGCAUGGAGCAGCAUUCAAAAUAUUGGGUAGAAGGAAAAAGGAAGAAAGAAGGGAAGGACAGGGAAGCAAGGAAAUAAAGGAAAUCAGGCUAUAUAUACAGUGAUGCCCAUCUACCCCUGAGAUCUAAAAAUCUAAGAUGAAAACGAGCACACAGUCUUGGCAGCAUUGGGGUAACAGACUAUGAAAGAAGAAAUCAGAUUGGAAAAUUCAGUAUAUCAAUGAAGAAAAUAAUCACUCAAGGAGAGGAAUAAACAGCAAAACAAUCUAUAUAUUUAAUUAUAGAUACAA
This 743-nucleotide long non-coding RNA is filed under the name Homo sapiens (human). RNAcentral's name for it is "long intergenic non-protein coding RNA 2046". The record is from RNAcentral. Lineage: Eukaryota; Metazoa; Chordata; Mammalia; Primates; Hominidae.